ACAGCAAGCGUAAAUUUUGCUGUAAGCCUGCAGAUGCAGGUGAAUCAACUGAUAGAAGGAAGAAAUCGAUG
This 71-nucleotide small RNA is filed under the name Duffyella gerundensis. RNAcentral's name for it is "Erwinia gerundensis osmY RNA". It matches the Rfam family "osmY RNA". The record is from Rfam by way of RNAcentral. Lineage: Bacteria; Pseudomonadati; Pseudomonadota; Gammaproteobacteria; Enterobacterales; Erwiniaceae.